Molecule: ribosomal RNA, 292 nt
Filed under: uncultured Verrucomicrobiota bacterium
Lineage: Bacteria; Pseudomonadati; Verrucomicrobiota
Description: uncultured Verrucomicrobia bacterium partial 16S ribosomal RNA
Source: RNAcentral
GGACUACUGGGGUAUCUAAUCCUGUUUGCUCCCCUAGCUUUCGUGCCUCAGUGUCAGGAGUCGUCCAGGGACUCGCCUUCGCCACUGGUGUUCCUCUCGAUAUCUACGCAUUUCACUGCUACACCGAGAAUUCCAGUCCCCCUUCCGAUCCUCCAGCCGGAGAGUAUCCAAUGCAGUUUCGGAGUUGAGCUCCGAGAUUUCACAUCAGACUUACCCGGCCACCUACGCACCCUUUACGCCCAGUGAAUCCGAACAACGCUCGGGACCUCUGUAUUACCGCGGCUGCUGGCAC